CAGGUAUGCCUGUGAAUCCUUUCCUCGGUUGCUUGUGUUGCUUGUCUGAUACCUGGGUAUAGAUUGACAGAUGUCUUGUUGUGGUUGCCAAUCAUUCAAUCUGCUUUGUUAAAGCAGUUGUCGGGGUAUUCAUUUCUUAGGCCCAAAUUCUAAUUCAAGACCAAGAGCUCCAAUCUGUGCCAUGUCCUGCACAUGUCAUUGAAAUUGAACGAAUUAACGACUGUGAGCUGAUUAAGUCGGUCUUUGUUGGAUUCUUAUCUUUAAUUAUUAUUAUGACAAGGUUAUAACUCCACAUUUAUUUCAGAUUUGAGGAUGCCUGUUUUGAUAUUACUCCUUUCCGAUGGGGCAGCUCUUUGUCGCCAGACAACAGAAUAUGAAUCUCUGAGUAUGUCUCACUUGCAGGUGUGAAAGCAGAGCUUGUUGACUCCGAAGACGAAAGCGGGGAGGAAACG
RNAcentral lists this long non-coding RNA (452 nucleotides) under Physcomitrium patens. RNAcentral describes it as "long non-coding RNA (PPAT_LNC011274)". Lineage: Eukaryota; Viridiplantae; Streptophyta; Bryopsida; Funariales; Funariaceae. The record is from RNAcentral.